This 70-nucleotide transfer RNA is filed under the name Cyphoderris monstrosa. RNAcentral's name for it is "tRNA-Met". Lineage: Eukaryota; Metazoa; Arthropoda; Insecta; Orthoptera; Prophalangopsidae. The record is from RNAcentral.
AAAAAGAUAAGCUAAAUAAGCUAAUGGGUUCAUACCCCAUUUAUAGAGGCAUCCAAAUCUCUUCUUUUUA